UACGGAGGGGGCUAGCGUUGUUCGGAAUUACUGGGCGUAAAGAGCGCGUAGGCGGCUUGUCAAGUUGGAAGUGAAAUCCCGGAGCUCAACUCCGGAACUGCUUUCAAAACUGACUAGCUUGAGUUAUGUAGAGGAUAGUGGAAUUCCCAAUGUAGAGGUGAAAUUCGUAGAUAUUGGGAGGAACACCAGAGGCGAAGGCGACUAUCUGGGCAUAUACUGACGCUGAGGCGCGAAAGUGUGGGGAGCAAACAGG
Molecule: ribosomal RNA, 253 nt
Filed under: uncultured bacterium
Lineage: Bacteria
Description: partial 16S ribosomal RNA
Rfam family: Bacterial small subunit ribosomal RNA
Source: RNAcentral